GUCCUUGUCGAUUAGUGGUUAAAUCAUCUCGUUGUGGAGCACUCGCCCCGCAUGGGAUGAGUGUAGCAACCCGAGAAGCCGGAAGUUCGAAUCCUCCCUGGGACA
Molecule: non-coding RNA, 105 nt
Organism: Infundibulicybe gibba
Lineage: Eukaryota; Fungi; Basidiomycota; Agaricomycetes; Agaricales; Omphalinaceae
Source: the annotation of a GenBank genome assembly